Long non-coding RNA from Parus major (Great Tit), 2532 nucleotides. RefSeq lists it as uncharacterized. The transcript has 2 exons. Lineage: Eukaryota; Metazoa; Chordata; Aves; Passeriformes; Paridae. The record is from RefSeq and is a predicted model, not a curated record.
CCGAGCUUGGUUUGUAGUUGUUUCUGCUAGACUGAAACCUGAUACUAUGAACUCUUGUAGCUUUUUAAGCCUCUAAUUCUUUUACUACCUUGAGUAAACAUACAGAUUACUCCUUCUCUCGGAACGACAGAGAGAGAGAGAGACAAUUAACAUAGAGAAAACAUCAUAGAACCACCAAUGCAACAGUGAGGAAAAGAGUUAAGUUUUAAAUAAGAGAGAGAGAAUAAGAAGAUGCUUAAUAGCUGAAAUAUCUUUUUGUUAAAGCUAUGGAGAUGGACAAUAAUCAUAUAAGAGACUCCUGUAAUUCAUGAUGAGAGUAUUGGGAGGAAUAGAGUAUUCAAAGUGUGGGUUUUGAGCAAAAGAGACACUGUGAGUUGCUGGAAUCAAGUAGAGUGAAGAUUUUGAGGCCUUGGGGGCAAAGAGAAACUGUUUUCCAGGAGAGCUCACAGAAACAGAUGAAGAGGACUUCUGCCUUUGAAUAACUCAUCCUUAAAAAUGAAAUCCCAAGACUUUAGUGACCCAUGCACACCUCGGAGAGAUGUGAGAUGGGAGGAGAAGAUCUAAUGACAGAUUUCCGGGCAGCUGGCAUUAGAGAAAUAGAAAACUAUGACAAAAAUAGUUUUCUGGUGAGGAACUCCAUAGAUUGGCAGAAAGAGACUUCUGUUUCUCUAUAAAGACUGAUGAAAAGACUCUAACAAAAAUUGAGACUGUUUUUAGCCACCAAAGUUCUAAAGUUAUUUGUCUCUAUGUUAUCAUGUCAUGUGUACAAAGAAAUGGUCAAAAAUGUAAAAGAAGGGGUUUUCUGGAAAUUUACUCUAGUGUUCUUAUUCUUGUAGUCUGUUAAUAAACUGUCUUUAUUCCUUUUAAGUUUUAAGCCUGUUUUGCUCUUGUUUUAAUCCAUAUCUCACAACAAGAAAUAAGUAAUUUCUUUAGUUACUGGUUUAAAACCACGACACUGGGGAAUGCAGAAUGCUUUUGGAUUUGCCUGUCUAUAAGUGGUUCUGUGAAGAGAACAUAACAACAUAAGCUUUGUGAAGCUCCCAAAAAUGCGAAAAGAAUGUUGUGCUGUAUCUCAUUUCUAUGUAAAAUUAAUGAAAAUAAAGCAAUGCACUUCCAAUGCAUAAUGAAUAACCAUGUCAAACUGUAUCAACUUUUUCAGACUUUCCCUCUAGAGGGCUUUUAAAUGAGGUCAACAGCACACGUAUCUUUACAUUUGAUCUGAGUGGGAGCAGCACACAGUAACAGAGCUUGGCCAUGCAAAGUGCAGUAACAAGCUCUUCUCAAUUCUGGUGAUGAAAAAUAGAAUACUAAAUACAACCCUUGUAUUUGUACGAGAUAUGGACUUCACAGAUUCAGUUAUGGAGAGAACACAGGACUGUGAGUAGAGAUACACAGUCCUCAUUAACAAUGCUGAAAAGAUCAAUGUUAGCUAAGCACAAGAAUGACAACCCCAUAUGUCAGAUUCAGUAGGACUAACAACACGUGCCUGCUGAGGGGGAAUAUUAUUCCUUAGAGAAGUUUCAAAGAAUCAGGCUAAAUGCUCAUGUUCUACCUUAGAAAAUAAUAAUUAUGAUUCUAUCUUAACAGAAAACAGCAUCAGUAUGGUCACAAAAAGUAAAAGGCAGCACUAAUUAAGUAAAAUUACUACAACAGCUCAUGUUCCAUUUUCCUGGUUGGCAGCUGACCAGAUCAGCACAGCGCAGCUCAAUAUUGUAUGUUUUAGUCCUGGUCCAUGCCAUGCAAAGACACUAUUUCUUGUCUAUGACAGACCACAUGUACCAGAAGUACAAUAAUAUACAGCAAAUGUGUUGCAUAACUCAGACUCUUCUGUUCUGUGCUUAAAAUAAAUCAACUACUGUUUCAUUACUUUAAUAAAUGUGCUUUUAUUAUAGAAGAGAAAAAUUCUAUAGAAUAAAUUAUUGGUAGUGUUCUGGAGAUCUCUCUUAGCCCUGGAAUCUCCUGCUUGAUUUUUCACUAAAUCUGUUAAUCCUUCUUUAUCCCCAGCAGCCUCACAUUGGUAUGUCCCAGGGAAGUGACAGAUAUCGGAGUAUUGGAGAUCCUUCCCAGACACUCCAAGGAUCUAUCUCCUCUGCACUGCUUUCCCAGGCUUUCCUGGCUGUUUCACAACCUCCAUUUAGAACUUACUGUGUCAUCUUUGCUCCUGAGAGGCUGCAAUGUAGUGGCCAUGGAUAAAGCAGCAACCAAGCAGCUGCAGGCUUGCUGUGCACAGAUGGAGGACAUAAGCACUGACAGUGGUCUCAUAGGCAGUGUCACAGAAAAUGCCAAGAAUCAAAUCCACAUCUUCAAAGUGUUAUUCUAAUAUUUUAAAAUCAAGGAAAUUACUUUUAUAGAUAUAUUACAGCUUUUUUAUUAUUGUUAUUAUUUGAAUAUUUCCCUUUGCCAAAUGUUCUCUGCCUCUAAAAUGUUCUAACUGGAGUGGGAAUGCUUUUAUUUAACUGGAAAUUAAUCAUUAUUUUUCAUUAAUCAGUACAUUUUGUGAAGUUCAAAGCAAAAAGGUUAUACUUCCAUGAA